GUGCAGUUUCUCAGAGUGCAGCACACUGAGCUCAGCGUAGGUCGCCUUGAUGUUGUCCAUGUUCUUCACAGCUUUGUCCAGACCGUGGA
Astyanax mexicanus (Mexican tetra) is the source of this 89-nucleotide long non-coding RNA. RefSeq lists it as uncharacterized. Lineage: Eukaryota; Metazoa; Chordata; Actinopteri; Characiformes; Acestrorhamphidae. The record is from RefSeq and is a predicted model, not a curated record. The transcript has 2 exons.